RNAcentral lists this ribosomal RNA (253 nucleotides) under uncultured bacterium. RNAcentral describes it as "partial 16S ribosomal RNA". It matches the Rfam family "Bacterial small subunit ribosomal RNA", at positions 524 to 776 of the family's 1533-position model. The record is from RNAcentral.
UACAGAGGGGGCAAGCGUUGUUCGGAAUUACUGGGCGUAAAGGGCUCGUAGGCGGCCAACUAAGUCAGACGUGAAAUCCCUCAGCUUAACUGGGGAACUGCGUCUGAUACUGGAUGGCUUGGAUUUGGGAGAGGGAUGCGGAAUUCCAGGUGUAGCGGUGAAAUGCGUAGAUAUCUGGAGGAACACCGGUGGCGAAGGCGGCAUCCUGGACCAAUAUUGACGCUGAGGAGCGAAAGCCAGGGGAGCAAACGGG